UUGGAGGGCAAGUCUGGUGCCAGCAGCCGCGGUAAUUCCAGCUCCAAUAGCGUAUAUUAAAGUUGUUGCAGUUAAAAAGCUCGUGGUUGAAUUUCGGGAUCAAUGUUUCGGUCAUGCCGUUGGUAUGUACUGAUAUUAUUGAUUUCUCACCUUCUAAAGAACCGUAAUGCCAUUAAUUUGGUGUCACGUGGAAUUAGGACUGUUACCUUGAAAAAAUUAGAGUGUUUAAAGCAGGCUCACGCUUGAAUACAUUAGCAUGGAAUAAUGAAAUAGGACAUCCGAUUCUAUUUUGUUGGUUUCUAGGAUCGAUGUAAUGAUUAAUAGGGAUAGUUGGGGGCAUUAGUAUUCAAUUGUCAGAGGUGAAAUUCUUGGAUUUAUUGAAGACUAACUACUGCGAAAGCAUUUGCCAAGGAUGUUUUCAUUAAUCAAGAACGAAAGUUAGGUGAUCGAAGACGAUCAGAUACCGUCGUAGUCUUAACCAUAAACUAUGCCGACUAGGGAUCGGAUGAUGUUAAUUUUUUAAUGACUCAUUCGGCGCCUUACGGGAAACCAAAGUGUUUGGGUUC
This 566-nucleotide ribosomal RNA is filed under the name uncultured Glomeromycotina. RNAcentral's name for it is "SSU rRNA". It matches the Rfam family "Eukaryotic small subunit ribosomal RNA", at positions 548 to 1114 of the family's 1831-position model. Lineage: Eukaryota; Fungi; Glomeromycota. The record is from RNAcentral.